AACGCACAAGGUACCCCUUUCACAAUCUGUUGUUUCUUCUCCUCUGACCAUGCAAAGGUUUAUCAGCCACCGGUGACAAACUGCACUCACCAAUAGGUGAAGACCGGAUUGAGAGUUUUUCUAAUUGCCUUGGGGAUGCAGCACGCUGACAAUCAUCUUCAGAUCCUGAAUAACCCCUUCUGACCAUGCAAAGGUGACAAACUGCACUCACCAAUAGGUAAAGACAGGAUUGAGCGACUUUCUAAUUGCCUUGGGGAUGCAGCACACUGACAAGACGGGUCCUCAUCUUCAUAUCCUGAAUAACUCUGUUGGGACUUCGAUGCUUGCACUAUGACAAAAUCAGUCCGUGAAUUUGGACAUGUUUCAACUUCACUGCUACCAUCACAGAUCAAAUAUGCUGUUGAAUAUGCCCUGGCUUCUUCAACAGCAAUGCGCUGAUUGCACAGUUCUUCUCUCAUUAUGUCAAUUUCUUCAGAGCCAAAUCUUGCUCUUCCAAACAGUGUAAUAUCUGGUUCCUGAACUGGAGGGGAUGGCAUGAACUUCAGUUCAAGCGUGCAGAUAUCAAAGUCUGUACAUUCUUCACCACUAGGAGAGGCUGAAUGAUCAUGAUCAUCAUCGACAGAAAUCGAGUGAUCUUCAUUUGUGUGCGUGUCGGAAUCCAGCAAUGUAGAAGGGGAGGACACUGACUUUCGGAGAGGAUUCUUGAAUAUCUUCCACAGUGGAUCAUCAGCAGUUAAGCAGGUCUUGAAACAUUUUUUCUUUACAUAGCUCAAUUCCAUGGCAAAGCAUGGUGGUGUUGUUGAAAUUACCCAUUGAGGCUGGAGAAGUUCCAAGGCCUGUUCUAACUCAUCACGAGAGGAAUGGAUGGAGAAACAAAUGUGCCAGACCCCACAACCAUCCAGCACAGCUUCUGUUAGGCUAGGUUUCUGGCUUUGAGCACAGUGCGCAUACCACUGUGUUGAGGGACGGAUAAAUAGAGGUUCAGGCUGAAGGCUAGCCCUUGCCUCUUCAAUCUUUGUACAUGCUUUGUCAUACAAGUUUUGGAAUCCAAGAAUCUACAAAGUAAGAAAGUUGCAAAUG
Molecule: small RNA, 1080 nt
Filed under: Oryza sativa Japonica Group (Japanese rice)
Lineage: Eukaryota; Viridiplantae; Streptophyta; Magnoliopsida; Poales; Poaceae
Description: sRNA Os01g0881450
Source: RNAcentral